UCUCUCCCUCUCCCUCUCCCUGCCUACCCCCUCAACUUGGUGAUAUGCACUUCAGAAGCUGGUUAGGGGGAGCUUGGGAGCUUGGGGCCUUUCCUCGGGACAAAUGAGCACCACCUGCUGGCUGAUGUCGGUAUGACCAGGCCCUCCCUGAAGAGUACAGAGAGACUGCCAGGAGGGGGCGCUGCACCCACAUCUCCGGCACCAGUAUAACGCUUCCAACGUCAUCAACUGCUAGACACCUAAAGCGAGAGAGGAUCUUCAGAACCCCGCCCUUCACCGAUUGCUUCUUGCCUGUGAGGGACCUGUGGUCUGGAGAGGCGUCCUGUUGGAAACCGGGCUAAAACCCUGCCUCUUGACUUCCAGGUUGGCGUUUCCGCUUUCCAGUUCUCCUUAGCACAACCCUGCCUCCAUCUCACUGGCUGUGACGUCAAGUAUCUUAGCAGCGUUGAGAAAAACAAGUAAACCCGCUUAUAUGUGUAACAAUCAGCACAGAGCAGAGCAGAGUCUUGGUGCAGUUUGUCUGCACCCGUUUGCAUUUGACACUACGGUGUCAAGGAACUGGCUGUUCUGAAGACGGCUCUUCGCAUGCGGUUGAGAAUCCCUUAUCAGGAAUGCUUAGGAGUUUGAAUUUAGACUUGGAAAUACUUACAUAUGCAUAAGGAAGCAUCCUGGGGAUGCAGCCCAACUCUAGACUCAAAUUCAUCGUGGUUAACGUAGACCUUGCAUAUACAUACGCAUAACACACAGGCAAUUGUGUUAGCCUCGCACCACAGAAACAGCAGAUAGAGGGAUUCAUUUUAGCUCACAAUUUGAGAUUUCAACCCAUGGCUACUUGAGGUAAGACCCCGUGUCAUGGCAAAGAGCUUGCCGAAUGAAAGCCGGGAUGCAGAACAACGGAAGCAGAGGAGGUGAUAAGAUACAUCUUCGUAGGAUGUAUCUAGGAUGUAUCUAGGAUGUAACCAGAUCCCACCUCCUGCUUGCCCCACCUCCCCUGAACACCGCCGCCAUCCAGGGCUGAAUUGGUUGAGCUCCUCAUGACCCAAACACCACUAAACAACUGGAUCCACAAGUUGUGAACAAAGCCUUCAACACGUGAGCCUGCUGAGACACACUUCCACACCCCAGCAGCGGUUUCGUGCAGCCUCUCUGUGCUCCAGCACCGUGGUUUGACUGCACCCUCACUGUGGUCCAGCGGGAAUUUUCCACUUGUGGCAUCACACGGCACUCAAGAUGUUUCAGAACGGAAAGGAUUUCUCUUCUCAGAGCCUUGGGUUUGGGAUGCUGACCCUCUGCUUCGUGCAAACACUUCUAUAGCUGACUGGCAUUUUCAGGGGUGGACGGGCAGCCGAACAGUGUCAGCCCUUGGCAGUUCUUAAAAGCGAUCUUAACCCCUUCUUUCCCCGUUAUUUAAUUUGCCCCACUUGUCACACAGGCCGUCAGUUAGGACUGACACCAUCCUGUGACAACUACGGGUUUAACUCAGUCUUUUAAAAUAGUGCGUGUGUGUGCGCGCGAGUGCAUGCGUGCGCGCAUUUGCUUCAAUGUACACUUGUGAUCAAGGCACACAAGUGGAGUUCAGAGGACAGUCUAUGGGAAUAAGUUCUCUUCUUCCAACACCUGCGUCCUGGGGAACAAACUCAAUUGGUCAGUCAUGGUCACAAAUGUCUUUGCCUGCCCCCACUCCCCCCGUCUGCUGAACCACGUCACUCUUAAGACAAAUUCUAACAAACUUCUUCCCAUCAAGGGAUUUUUUAUAUGUGCAUGUAAUGUUUUGAUCCGAUUUAUCUCCAAUUUCCUCUCCUUCAAUUCCUCCCCAUUCCCCAUCACCCCCGCCCAACUUCAUGUGUGUUAUUUUUAAAAAACCACUGAGGCCACCUGGUGCUACCUGCACGUGUGUAGGCACAGGGCCUUCUACUGAAGCAUGGGUAACCUCUCGGGGGCCACAUCCCCAAAGAAAACUCUCUCCCAGAAGGCAUCAACUGCCAAUGGCUCCUCAGCUAGAGGGAACUCACUAUUUUGUACAAUUGAUAUAUCCUAGUAAAAAUAGUAAUCAAUAAACAGAUAAACAUUUGCUUUUUAACAGAGACAUUUUAGCAUGAUUAUAGGCCACAGAAAUAAUGUGUGUGAGGAAAGAGAGGGAAGCCUGCUGAGCAGCGUGUGUGAAGGUGUGCAUAUGAGAUACAGUCUUAGAGGUAGGGAGGGCAGUCUGUCUGCAGUAAUGAGGGAAUGGAAGGUUGCCCAAUGCAGAUGCUGACAGGGUGGAGAUGGGAUCGCCUGGGGGAAGUUCUGAGUUUGCGCUUGAGUGUUCCUGGAAGAUGUGGGCGAAGAUUCACGUGACGGCACGGGAGAAGCUGUGCGCAGCAUAAUCGGAGAAUGUGGAUGCUAGAGAGGGGCUAAUGGUUAUUACAAACAUAAUCAAAUUCAGGAGGUUUUAGUAAUAAAAAGAAACCCAUUACUACUUAGCCCACAGUGUCCAAGACCUUGUGGAAACUGUUCUGAUGUUGAGAGAACGGUUCACCUAGUACCUAGGAGGGAAUUGCCUUAGAAUCUUGAGCCUUGACUUAAGGUCUAGCACAGUUCCGUGAUGUGGGCAAGUAUACAAAGCCCUGGCUGGGUCACGGGCUGUCUCUCUUAUCUAGCCAAGACUUGGGUCAUCAGUAUCAGCCCUACCUGGGGGCCUGUUACAAACGCAAGCACAGCUGAGCACCUGUAAUCCCAGCACUCUGGAGGCUGAGUCAAGACGUCUAAAGUUUCACACAGGACACAGUGAGACAAACAAAUAAAACAAAAACAAAACAAAUAAAAAUAACUUCCAAGUCAAACUAAACCAACUGUGUUAGGCAGUGUUAUUAGGACGCAUGUAUAUUAUAAAAGGUAUUUAUUGGAUUGGCUGACACAGGGACUGGGGAAUCCAGCAAUGACUGACUGCCUCCCACAGAGGCUGAGAACUCAUAGCUGCUCAGCCCACAAAGCUGAUGCCUCUGCAGCCUCCGUCUGGCCCUGGUACUCAGUCCUCACUGGGAAACCGGAGAAGCAGGGGUUUGAGGUCAGCAGAGGUUUGGGGCUGCAGUGAUGGACACACUUGCUUGUAAGUGAAGGUGGCUGGGUGGUGCACUUUACCUCAGACCUGUCUAUAUGUGCGUCAUCUGUUGGAGGGUGCUGCCCACUUUGAGGAUGGGCCUUCCCUCAAUUAAUCCUCUCAGGAGAUGCCCUCACAGACACGCCCAGAGACGUAUCUCCUAGGUAAUUCCAAAUCCUGUCAAGAUGACAACCGAGAUCAACCAUCGUAGCAAAUAAGCAAUGCCAGAAGUUAGUGCCUCCACCUCAGACCUGGUGGGGCCAACAUCUGCAUUUACCACGAUGUCCUGGUGGAAUAUAUGAUGUGAGUGUUGUGACCCUAAAUACUAUUGCUCUUUUACUCAUAUCAUAUGUUUUCACUUUGUUUAUUAAAUUACAUCAAAUGAAAUGUUGUGGGCUGGUAAUAUGGCCUGUGCACGCGCGCGCGCGCGCGCACACACACACACACACACACACACACACACACACACACACACUCACAUUCAUCUUGUACAAUCCCUCACUGCUCUCAAGAAUGUAGAGAGUGUAGGGAAGCCAGGAAAGCCACAGCCACAUCAGGAGAACAAGCAGGGAAUUAUUUCUAGGAGAGCUUUCCUGGUCAACGAAUGAGAGCAGGGUUCCCCUCCCCCUCCCUUCUCUCUAGCACUACUCCUAGCCAGCUUGGUUCUGGCGGGGUGUUUCCUUGUUGUAGGGAGCCUCUGUGAUUUGUAGGGUGCUUAGCGACAGAGCUGGUCUCUACCCACUAGAGGCCAGUAUCAUCCUUCGGGUUUCAACGGUGACAUCCAGCGAUGUUCCGACAUUGGCAAGUGCAGAGUCGGGCAUGGCAGGGAGGGAAGCUUGGCCUCCACCUGAGAGUCAGGGGCUUAAAGCGAGGGUUGUGGCUUCCCUGAGAGGGCAGGGGUAGCUGCAUUUCAGGGGUGCCUUCCCACUUGCGGGGUGGGGGGGCUUGAAUUUUGUGUCUAUUUUAUCUUUUCAUCUUUACAGCAAACCCAGGGAACAGCAUGAUUCCUCCUCAUUUAUGAACAGAGAAACCAAGCUUUAGAGAACUGUCCGGUAAAUUGUUUAACAGGGAUGUUCAGUCCCGAGUCCAUCUCCACCACUGUGCCAUGGAGCAGAGGACAGAGGACAGAUACAUACAGCUCUUCGUGUGUGGGUGUGCGCAUGUGUGUGGAUGUGCAUGUGAGUGUGCACGAGUGUGUGUGUGUGUGUGUGUGUGUGUGUGCAUGUGCAUUUGUGUGGAGGCUAGAGGUCAAUGUCUAGUGCCUUCCUCAAUCUCUGUCCUUCAGCUAAGGUCUGUGACUGGUCUGGAGUCCCUGAUUCAGCUCAAAUGGCUGGCUAGAGCGCUCCAGGGAUUGUGCUGGCAUUUACAUUGAGGAUCGAGGUCAGCCCUUCAUACUUGUGUGGCAAGCAUUUUCCCAGCUGAGUCACCUCCCUGGUUCUGCCUUGUGUUUUCUCUAUCUGUGUCUCCAUCUAUGGGCCUGGAAGCCUUCCCCAUCUCUCUGUACGAUCCAGAGAUGACUGGAGAAAUAGCCAAUAAUUGGCCAGUGGCCAGAACUGAUUUUGCAAACACUUGAGUUAGUUGGCUGGAGAAACAAAUAUCAAAGAGGGACAUCUUCUCCGAGGCUCCCACAGGCAUUGCCUUGUCCCCAAGAGUCCUGCCAUUUGUUUCCCUUAGUUCUUCCCAUGUCCUCAGGUGUAAGACAGCUCCCUGUGGCUGCACAUGCCUGGAUAUCAAAGGCUCUGCUAUGAGGUGUCUGUGGGCGACUCACACCAUCAAAGGCAGCUGGGUGGGGAGCCAAGAGAAUGCAAACAGGACCUGAAUGGAGUUCACAUCCAUCAGUCUCUUAGCAUCUCCCCGGCUGGAAGCGUCUGCCCUGGUUGCCAGAGCAGCCGAGCUCAGCCUCCCUGUUUGAACAUUGAAUACUGACUUUGACUGAGCACCUGGGCGUGUGUUCUUCUAAAAAUGCCACAUCCAGGCAAGGGUUUCCCAACACCUGCACAAGUUCUGUUUCAGAUCCCAGGGGUCUGUGAUGUACAGCCAGGAUCUAGAACUUUUCUGCUGGUCUGAAAGGGCUUGGGGCUGGGUAUAUGAGCCCCCCUGCCAGUUCUAUCACUUAGAGAUUCCCAGUUAUUUAUUUAGCGUCUCUGGGCCUCAGUGUUGCACAUCUGUAAAAUGGGGAUUGUGGUAUCUGCCUCCCAACAGUGAAGCUGUGACUGGUAAAGUGACAGUCCCCAGAGGCUCUAAUGUGACUCUUGACAUCCUGCCCACCCUCCAUACACGGGCUCUGAGGCUGCAGCCUUGCCUGACCUGCUGAUGGACUCUUGGCUUGCGCCUACCUCUGGUGACAUGAAUAAUGCUACUGUGAACAUGGAUGGACAGAACAUGUUGAACCCCAAGUCUUUGGGGGUACAAAUUAGAUGUGGAAUCGCUGGAUCGAAUGGCGACUCCAGCUUUACCAUUUUGAGGACCCGCCACACAUUGCCACACCAGCCGCUCCACUUCACAUGCCCACCAGUCGUGGGUGAGGCUUCUUGACUCUUCAUAUCCACGCUUUGAAUUUUCUGCCUUUUUGAUAACUGCCGUCCAAGUGGGUCUGAAGUGGCCAUACAAUACACAGACAGACAUGAACAGGACCCUCUUUGCCAGCCUCGGGGUUCUGUAUUCACCAGCAAUUCUGCUCCAACGUUGCCGCCGCCUCCUCCCACCUGCUCGGGUCACCUUCUCAUCCUUAAGGUAUUAACUUAGGCGCAUGGCCUCCGCACAGCGGCCUCUGGAGCCCCAAAGAAGUUAGCCCCCCUUUAGAUCUCUUAUAUACUAUGAGCUUCAAUUCCUCUGCUGCACUUGACUUAA
This is a long non-coding RNA of Peromyscus californicus insignis, 5929 nucleotides long. RefSeq lists it as uncharacterized. Lineage: Eukaryota; Metazoa; Chordata; Mammalia; Rodentia; Cricetidae. The transcript has 2 exons. The record is from RefSeq and is a predicted model, not a curated record.